UACCUUUUCAUCACUUGAAGACCAGUGGUUAUAUGAUUUGGACCCACUGAGGAAGGUAGAAUGAUAUCAGUUCAAAAGUAUUGGAUACCUGUGGAGCACUUUGCAAGAUAUUGCAGGAUUUUCUGGGCUUUCUAUAGAACUACACAGAAGUAUUGCUGAGUACUUUGCAAUAUGAAUUCCUGCAAUUUGCAGGAAUUUGUCAUGCUUUUCAGGUGAUCAUACUAGGCACCUUAAGCCACACUACGAAAGUUGACUGUUACCUUAAGACCCUGGAGACCACGGCCCUGUGAUCGUGCCAGGGAUGGAGGAGACACACUGUGCGCUGUGUGUUGUGAAGCUGAAGUGUCCACAAAAGACUGCAAAACAUUUCUACGGGGCAGUGUGAUCAUGGUGAAGACAGCAGUAAGAUCUUAUAUAACAGAAGACAGAAAAAGACAGAGAGUCACGUGGAGAUGCACACACAUAUUAGUGAGAG
Canis lupus familiaris (dog) is the source of this 475-nucleotide long non-coding RNA. RefSeq lists it as uncharacterized. The transcript has 3 exons. The record is from RefSeq and is a predicted model, not a curated record. NCBI's taxonomy places the organism in Eukaryota, Metazoa, Chordata, Mammalia, Carnivora, Canidae.